AUUGAACGCUGGCGGAAUGCUUUACACAUGCAAGUCGAACGGCAGCACGGGGGCAGCCCUGGUGGCGAGUGGCGAACGGGUGAGUAAUACAUCGGAACGUGCCCGGUCGUGGGGGAUAACGUAGCGAAAGUUACGCUAAUACCGCAUACGAUCUGAGGAUGAAAGCGGGGGACCUUCGGGCCUCGCGCGAUCGGAGCGGCCGAUGUCAGAUUAGGUAGUUGGUGGGGUAAAGGCCUACCAAGCCGACGAUCUGUAGCUGGUCUGAGAGGACGACCAGCCACACUGGGACUGAGACACGGCCCAGACUCCUACGGGAGGCAGCAGUGGGGAAUUUUGGACAAUGGGCGCAAGCCUGAUCCAGCCAUUCCGCGUGCAGGACGAAGGCCUUCGGGUUCUAAACUGCUUUUGUACGGAACGAAAAGGCUCUGGCUAAUACCUGGGGCUCAUGACGGUACCGUAAGAAUAAGCACCGGCUAACUACGUG
Molecule: ribosomal RNA, 484 nt
Filed under: uncultured bacterium
Lineage: Bacteria
Description: partial 16S ribosomal RNA
Rfam family: Bacterial small subunit ribosomal RNA
Source: RNAcentral